AUUGAACGCUAGCGGGAUGCUUUACACAUGCAAGUCGAACGGCAGCGCGGACUUCGGUCUGGCGGCGAGUGGCGAACGGGUGAGUAAUGUAUCGGAACGUGCCCAGUAGCGGGGGAUAACUACGCGAAAGCGUAGCUAAUACCGCAUACGCCCUACGGGGGAAAGCAGGGGAUCGUAAGACCUUGCACUAUUGGAGCGGCCGAUAUCGGAUUAGCUAGUUGGUGAGGUAACGGCUCACCAAGGCGACGAUCCGUAGCUGGUUUGAGAGGACGACCAGCCACAUUGGGACUGAGACACGGCCCAGACUCCUACGGGAGGCAGCAGUGGGGAAUUUUGGACAAUGGGGGCAACCCUGAUCCAGCCAUCCCGCGUGUGCGAUGAAGGCCUUCGGGUUGUAAAGCACUUUUGGCAGGAAAGAAACGUCGCGGGCUAAUACCCCGUGGAACUGACGGUACCUGCAGAAUAAGCACCGGCUAACUACGUG
This 484-nucleotide ribosomal RNA is filed under the name uncultured bacterium. RNAcentral's name for it is "partial 16S ribosomal RNA". It matches the Rfam family "Bacterial small subunit ribosomal RNA", at positions 30 to 507 of the family's 1533-position model. The record is from RNAcentral.